Mauremys reevesii (Reeves's turtle) is the source of this 3512-nucleotide long non-coding RNA. RefSeq lists it as uncharacterized. The record is from RefSeq and is a predicted model, not a curated record. The transcript has 8 exons. NCBI's taxonomy places the organism in Eukaryota, Metazoa, Chordata, Testudines, Geoemydidae.
AUCGCGCAGAUUCCUCACGUUGUCACGUGAAUAUGCUUCCUUCCUGACCUGGAGUGGCCACCUCUAAGUGUCUCAGGAUUGUUCACUCUCUGGGCCCAUUCAGCCCUUGGCUUCUUGGCUGAAACUGCCCAGGAAGAAGAUGCAUAUUUGAUGAUGACCAAGGCUGGCUUCAAUCUCUGCUGGCUGGCAGGUAAUGAUUGCUCUGUGGAGGUAGCACAAUCAGCCCCUGUAGAGGAAAGAACUCCUCAUAUUGCUCAAAGGCAGCCAAUUAAGAAACAGCGCAGAUGGAUUCCAAAGAACAGAACACUGAGAACACUUGCAAAGGAGGCAGCUUCCUCAGGAAUUGUCCUUUGCAACGUUGUGUUUAAGGAAUCUUCAGAGAUGAAAACCUUUGGGUUUGUUGUUUGCAUUAUCAACUGAAAUGGAAACUCCAAAUCAGGUUCUCAUUCUUCAUGACCAUCAUGGACCCAGGUUCACAGAGUGAGAAUGUUUUAGUCUGCCAAGAGAAAAGUACAAUGGUAAAAGAAGCUCUUCUGGAGAAAACUAUAUUUGCUGAAGAUAGCUGAAGACGGGCCGUGGAAGGAAAGGCAUUAAGUGCAGCCGAAUGGUGUGGCUCUGCAGUGCUUGAGAGGGGAGGCAUGACGGUAGCCAUGCCAAUUCCAUUAAGAAUGGAGAAGCAAGACUAAGAAAUUAGAUCCCUUUCUGAUGUAAUGAAGAAAUAUAUGUUGAUGUGCACCUAAGGGCUGGGAGAGAUAAAGAUCCUGUAUCUGAUUCAAAACAGAGUAAGCAAAGUUACUCUCCGCAUACCACCAACAGAGCCUCAACUGCCAUGGAAGCUGGUUUGCCAAUUAAAGAUAUUUCUUGGUUUUCCUUUAUAAAUUAGAACUAGAUCCAAAUCAUUUUUUUUUCCAAACACUGUGGGGGUUGUUUGCAUUAGGUAAUCCAAUGUGAGACUGGACUCUCCAGUUGGACUCUCAGGACAUCAAGCCUUGGCGGUUGCACAGGAACAGACCAAAUGGCUAAUGAUUGCUACAGCCGACUGUCUGGCUAAGCGUAGAAGAAUAAGCAGAAGAAUUUGAGAUGACUACAGAUAUGGACUCAAGACAUACGGACCAGAUCUGGCUGUGGAUUCAGAUUUUAGAUUUGGCAGUUCCAGUUUGUGCUUGUCUCUAUUUUUAGUAAAAGUUGAAUAGGGGCUAAUUCUGCUGUCACUUAUACUAGCGUAGUCACUGACUUGCACCAGUGUAACUGGGAUCAGAACAUGGCCCACAGUUAUUCCAGUGUGGAACAAUGAAGUGUUACAUUAUUAUAGCCUGUGGGACAGAUGCCUCAGAAUAGGCACAGCACAGAAGAGUCCAGGGGAAGUGCAGGAAAAAGAUUCUGGGUUGGCUGCGGGCUACUGCAGCCCCUGCUCUAACUUAUGGCAGCCUUAUCUAGGCUAUCCAUAGGCUGUGCUGCAGCCUGGAGCGGUCCAGAAUUGCCAUAACGCUCAGCACUAUAGAUAUUCAACUUCUGCCCCUAACAUGCUUCUUCCUGGCACUACCUUGGCACAUCUCUUAUGCUGAGGGCUGUGAUGGGGGCCGGACAGCAAACCUACACUGCUCUUGCACUGGGGGAAUUCUGCAGCAGGCUGCAGCACCUGUACAACCCUUAUAUGCCAGCAGAGUCACCUACAGGGUGUGGGUUGGGGGCUAGAAUUGGGUACCACAUGUUUAAGAAACUCCUAUCUUAUUGCAAUAUAAAGUUAUAUCUCUCAAGAGCUAAGAUCUGUCUGUAUUUUCUACCUUUUAGCAUUCUUUCUCUCCCCAUGUGUUUAGUGACAUUAAUUUUUCAACUUUUUAAUACUAUUUUGCAAUUUAGACCUGCAAAAUCAAUAAAAUCAAAGUUCCCAAAAUGAUGUAGGUGGCAGAAGCAGCACCCCCCCCAUCAGAACGUUUAUUUUCUAGAACAGAUUUUUUAUUAUUUUCUCUCUGCUUAUAAAUUAUAUGACGUUAAAAUAUUAGUAACAUCAGCUUCAAAAUUCAUCACGUUGCAAUUCUUAAAUCCAUGUUCUCCAUUUUUUUUCUUUUUGUUGCUACAGGGACAAACCUAAAAGCAAGCAUCUGAUGGAGGUGGGGGAAAUCACAGCUCAGCUGAGACUUUCUUUUCAUAGCACAUUGAGAAGCUUACUAGCUGUAGAUUUGAUUAUUGACUGAGGCCAGAAAAUUGAAAAGAUGUUUUAUGACGGACCCAUAACUCUAUGCUUUGCUCUCAGUGAUGUAGGGACUCUUACAGGCACUGAUUGGUGGAUGGAGUCAAAAAUUGAGAGCUGCUAGUUAUUGGCAUUGCUGGUGCUGAAACAUAGCUAGCUAACACUUCUCCUGUCUUCUCCACCUGCACCUGUAUCCAAACAGAGAACCUGACCAUGGAUACCUCUACCCAGAUCCUGAUGUGGAUUUGCAUAGACUGUGGUCUGCAUUUCCCACUCUCAGAAAGCCAGGCUGGGGGACAGUCCACUGUGAAAGGUGCCUGCUGGUGGACUCUCCCAGGAAGCAGGUGGGAAAGCCUACAGUAGGAGGUGGCUAGACUGAGAAGCAUCCGUGCCCAUGAGGAAUUCAUAGACAGUAUUCAUAUGGAGAUGUCCAAGGUUGAGGAAGCUAUCUAUCAAGGGCUGUUGUCAUGCCACCAUGGGAGGAGGAUUUGGCUCUGUCACAGGGAGGACACUGGCUGCCUGUUACUUCUGGUAGCAGGCAGUGCUCCACCCUUAGUUCCAACCCUCCUACCAUAGUGAUGAAGAACUGUUAUGCUGCCCUGGCAAUGAUCAACGAGGAAUCACCCCCAAAGGUGGAGGAGGAGAAGCCAUGUACCCCCAAGGAUCGCAGCCACCACUCCCAGGAGGAAACAUAGGGUAAUGGUGGUUAGUGACCCUCUUCUGAGGGGGACGGAGGCACCCAUCUGCUGCCUGACAUGGCAUCCUGUGAGAUAUGCUGCCUGCCAGGGGCCCAUAUCUGAGACUUUACGGAGGGAUUGUUAAGGAUCAUCCAGCACUCUGAUUACUACCACAUGCUACUCAUCCAUGUGGGCACUAAUAAUACUGCCAAGUAUGACCCUAAGCAGAUCAGAAGUGACUACAAGGCUCUGGGAGUAAGGUUGAAGGAGCUGGGGGUUCAGUAGUGUUCUCUUCGAUGCUUCUGAUCAGGGGUAGGAGGGCCCAAGCAGAGAGAUGCAUCCUGGAGGUGAAUGCCUGGCUGUGAAGAUGGUGUCACCAGGAGGUCUUCGGGUACGUUGACCACGAGAUGCUGUUCCAGGAAGGACUGCUAAGCAGAGAUGAGGUCCACCUAUCAAGGAAGAGGAAGAGCAUCUUUGGAUAUAGACUGGCUAACCUAGUGAGGUGGGCUUUAAACUAGGUUCGAUGGGGACAGGUGAUAAAAGCCCACAGGUAAGUCCAAAACAUAGAGACCUGGGAGAAGGUUCAGAAUCUGGGGGGAGAAUGUGCCAUUAUAGCAGGGAUAAGGGCGAGACAAGAGAGAAUG